Long non-coding RNA from Sphaerodactylus townsendi, 1188 nucleotides. RefSeq lists it as uncharacterized. NCBI's taxonomy places the organism in Eukaryota, Metazoa, Chordata, Lepidosauria, Squamata, Sphaerodactylidae. The record is from RefSeq and is a predicted model, not a curated record. The transcript is spliced from 3 exons.
CUUUUAGAAGCUCCGGUGCCUGACCUUCAGGACUCCGAGGAACCCUAUGACUUUCGCUUUGUGAAGUGGAUGAUCAAGAACAAGGGUCUAGCAGCCAUCCCGGUCUCUGCCUUCUACAGCCCUCCACAAAAGAAGAACUUUGAUCAUUACAUCCGUUUCUGCUUUGCAAAGGAGGACGCCACUCUAGACGCCGCAGCCGACAUCUUGCAAAAGUGGAGUCAGGAGAAACCUGGUCAAUAAAGUGGCUCCUUUUCCGCAGUCUUUGUCGCUGGAGCUUUGGCACGAGUCGGAGAGCUCUCGGCAAAGUUUCCCACUGCCGAACUGCGCCACGGGAUAUCCAAGGGCUCUGCCCUCCUGUCCGCGUGGGAGAAAUCAUCCCCGAGAACUGAUUUGACGGGCGAUUCUUUCCUUCCGGUUCUCCAGAAUUGUGAAACUCUCAGGCCCGUUGAGAAGAAUUUGUUGUUCUUGUUUUGAUUUCAGGGCAUCGCUUUCAGUGGGGAGGGUUUCAAGCAGAGGGCUCGAUGCACCUCAUUGGACUUCCUUCGUGCAGUUGUGAAAGAGGUGUGAAAUAGCCUCUUUUAAUGUUCGGCUCUCUUACAGGAGGAAGUCCUUACAGAGCCUUCCUUGGGCCUGCUUCAAUCAGAGCAGUGUGUGUCCCCCCACCUCCCCCCACAUUCUUUUAUGAACCGUCCUGGAAGUGGCCUUGUAAUUAUUCUAUGCUGCUGAGUCCUUUUUUUUUUGGCCCUGUGGUCAGAUACGAGCUUCCCCAUCAUAGGCGAGGAGGGUCACCCUCUUUGCUUCUUAGUGUCAUUUGUCCCCUGUCCCUAAAGGGUAGGAUGGACGUUAGCUUUCCACACAAGACUUGGCAAAGCAGGAGAAAUAGGGCCAGGCCUCCGAGUCUCACCCUUCCUACACACGCACACGCAGUUUGCACACGCACAGACUCCUUCCGGGAGCUCUAGGAGAGCUGUGUUGCGCAGUUUGAGUGCCUGUGUUGGGAGGAAUGCGUUUGGACCAGGGAGUCCUGAUGAAGGUGAUCCUGUCCUCCACGUUGCCGGCUCAGGGUUAAGUGCACGGGGGACUCCUGUCGGUCCUGUGGUCCUCCUGAUUUGAUGAUGCUGCACUCUAGGAAAGAAGUCAAGAAAACUGUAGCACUGAUUGCCAAUAAAGGAAGCGUUAUUUCAAAAA